GAGUGAGCUAAAGAUGAAUACCAGAGGACUUGGAUCUCAGCUAAAGGACAGUAUUCCAGUUACUGAGCUAUCAGCAAGUGGACCUUUUCAAAGUCAUGAUCUUCUUCGAAAAGGUUUUUCUUGUGUGAAAAAUGAACUUUUACCCAGUCAUCCUCUUGAAUUAUCAGAAAAAAAUUUCCAGCUCAACCAAGAUAAAAUGAAUUUUUCCACACUGAGAAACAUCCAGGGUCUAUUUGCUCCACUAAAAUUGCAAAUGGAAUUCAAGGCAGUGCAACAGGUUCAGCGUCUUCCAUUUCUUCCAAGCUCAAACCUUUCACUGGAUAUUUUGAGUGGCAAUGAUGAGACUAUUGGAUUUGAAGAUAUUCUUAAUGACCCAUCACAAAGUGAACUAAUGGGAGAACCACACUUGAUGGUGGAAUAUAAACUUGGUUUACUGUAAUGCAGUGAGCUGACCAUGGAAAUGGAGGGGCUACAUCUUGUUUAUAGUUAUCUUUUUACUAUAAUUUUAUGUAUACAACAUUAAAAGUACUGACACAUG
Molecule: RNA transcript, 538 nt
Organism: Myotis davidii
Lineage: Eukaryota; Metazoa; Chordata; Mammalia; Chiroptera; Vespertilionidae
Gene name: proteasome maturation protein pseudogene
Exons: 1
Source: RefSeq, a predicted model, not a curated record